GAUGAACGCUGGCGGCGUGCCUAAUACAUGCAAGUCGAGCGAACAGAUAAGGAGCUUGCUCCUUUGACGUUAGCGGCGGACGGGUGAGUAACACGUGGGUAACCUACCUAUAAGACUGGAAUAACUCCGGGAAACCGGGGCUAAUGCCGGAUAACAUGUUGAACCGCAUGGUUCUACAGUGAAAGGCGGCUUUGCUGUCACUUAUAGAUGGACCCGCGCCGUAUUAGCUAGUUGGUGGGGUAACGGCUCACCAAGGCAACGAUACGUAGCCGACCUGAGAGGGUGAUCGGCCACACUGGAACUGAGACACGGUCCAGACUCCUACGGGAGGCAGCAGUAGGGAAUCUUCCGCAAUGGGCGAAAGCCUGACGGAGCAACGCCGCGUGAGUGAUGAAGGUCUUCGGAUCGUAAAACUCUGUUAUUAGGGAAGAACAAAUGCGUAAGUAACUGUGCGCGUCUUGACGGUACCUAAUCAGAAAGCCACGGCUAACUACGUG
RNAcentral lists this ribosomal RNA (497 nucleotides) under uncultured bacterium. RNAcentral describes it as "partial 16S ribosomal RNA". It matches the Rfam family "Bacterial small subunit ribosomal RNA", at positions 28 to 507 of the family's 1533-position model. The record is from RNAcentral.